Molecule: ribosomal RNA, 497 nt
Filed under: uncultured bacterium
Lineage: Bacteria
Description: partial 16S ribosomal RNA
Rfam family: Bacterial small subunit ribosomal RNA
Source: RNAcentral
GAUGAACGCUGGCGGCGUGCCUAAUACAUGCAAGUCGAGCGAACAGACGAGGAGCUUGCUCCUCUGAUGUUAGCGGCGGACGGGUGAGUAACACGUGGAUAACCUACCUAUAAGACUGGGAUAACUUCGGGAAACCGGAGCUAAUACCGGAUAACAUGUUGAACCGCAUGGUUCAACAGUGAAAGACGGUCUUGCUGUCACUUAUAGAUGGGUCCGCGCCGCAUUAGCUAGUUGGUAAGGUAACGGCUUACCAAGGCAACGAUGCGUAGCCGACCUGAGAGGGUGAUCGGCCACACUGGAACUGAGACACGGUCCAGACUCCUACGGGAGGCAGCAGUAGGGAAUCUUCCGCAAUGGGCGAAAGCCUGACGGAGCAACGCCGCGUGAGUGAAGAAGGUCUUCGGAUCGUAAAACUCUGUUAUUAGGGAAGAACAAAUGUGUAAGUAACUAUGCACGUCUUGACGGUACCUAAUCAGAAAGCCACGGCUAACUACGUG